RNAcentral lists this ribosomal RNA (1416 nucleotides) under Salmonella enterica. Its description in RNAcentral is "partial 23S ribosomal RNA". It matches the Rfam family "Bacterial large subunit ribosomal RNA", at positions 1538 to 2925 of the family's 2925-position model. The record is from RNAcentral. Lineage: Bacteria; Pseudomonadati; Pseudomonadota; Gammaproteobacteria; Enterobacterales; Enterobacteriaceae.
AAAUCCGGUUCACUUUAACACUGAGGCGUGAUGACGAGGCACUACGGUGCUGAAGCAACAAAUGCCCUGCUUCCAGGAAAAGCCUCUAAGCAUCAGGUAACAUCAAAUCGUACCCCAAACCGACACAGGUGGUCAGGUAGAGAAUACCAAGGCGCUUGAGAGAACUCGGGUGAAGGAACUAGGCAAAAUGGUGCCGUAACUUCGGGAGAAGGCACGCUGACACGUAGGUGAAGUGAUUUACUCAUGGAGCUGAAGUCAGUCGAAGAUACCAGCUGGCUGCAACUGUUUAUUAAAAACACAGCACUGUGCAAACACGAAAGUGGACGUAUACGGUGUGACGCCUGCCCGGUGCCGGAAGGUUAAUUGAUGGGGUCAGCGUAAGCGAAGCUCCUGAUCGAAGCCCCGGUAAACGGCGGCCGUAACUAUAACGGUCCUAAGGUAGCGAAAUUCCUUGUCGGGUAAGUUCCGACCUGCACGAAUGGCGUAAUGAUGGCCAGGCUGUCUCCACCCGAGACUCAGUGAAAUUGAACUCGCUGUGAAGAUGCAGUGUACCCGCGGCAAGACGGAAAGACCCCGUGAACCUUUACUAUAGCUUGACACUGAACAUUGAGCCUUGAUGUGUAGGAUAGGUGGGAGGCUUUGAAGUGUGGACGCCAGUCUGCAUGGAGCCGACCUUGAAAUACCACCCUUUAAUGUUUGAUGUUCUAACGUGGACCCGUAAUCCGGGUUGCGGACAGUGUCUGGUGGGUAGUUUGACUGGGGCGGUCUCCUCCUAAAGAGUAACGGAGGAGCACGAAGGUUGGCUAAUCCUGGUCGGACAUCAGGAGGUUAGUGCAAUGGCAUAAGCCAGCUUGACUGCGAGCGUGACGGCGCGAGCAGGUGCGAAAGCAGGUCAUAGUGAUCCGGUGGUUCUGAAUGGAAGGGCCAUCGCUCAACGGAUAAAAGGUACUCCGGGGAUAACAGGCUGAUACCGCCCAAGAGUUCAUAUCGACGGCGGUGUUUGGCACCUCGAUGUCGGCUCAUCACAUCCUGGGGCUGAAGUAGGUCCCAAGGGUAUGGCUGUUCGCCAUUUAAAGUGGUACGCGAGCUGGGUUUAGAACGUCGUGAGACAGUUCGGUCCCUAUCUGCCGUGGGCGCUGGAGAACUGAGGGGGGCUGCUCCUAGUACGAGAGGACCGGAGUGGACGCAUCACUGGUGUUCGGGUUGUCAUGCCAAUGGCACUGCCCGGUAGCUAAAUGCGGAAGAGAUAAGUGCUGAAAGCAUCUAAGCACGAAACUUGCCCCGAGAUGAGUUCUCCCUGAGACUUAGAGUCUCCUGAAGGAACGUUGAAGACGACGACGUUGAUAGGCCGGGUGUGUAAGCGCAGCGAUGCGUUGAGCUAACCGGUACUAAUGAACCGUGAGGCUUAACCUUACA